Scophthalmus maximus (turbot) is the source of this 1177-nucleotide long non-coding RNA. RefSeq lists it as uncharacterized. NCBI's taxonomy places the organism in Eukaryota, Metazoa, Chordata, Actinopteri, Pleuronectiformes, Scophthalmidae. The record is from RefSeq and is a predicted model, not a curated record. The transcript has 6 exons.
GGCCUCCACCCGCCAACCGCCGUCGCUCGUGUAGACAGAUUACGGUUCUUCGCUAACACCGCCCGGCCUGCCGUGCACGUCCACACACACAGACGAAGCAAGCGCACGCACCUGCUGCUGAUUGGAGUUGUUGACAGGUAGGGCCCCCAGCCCAGAUACAUCUGACAGAGCAGUUUGUCAUCUGUGGCCUCCUGUAUGAGGUAGUGGACGUGUCCCUCUAUAGACAGAGGUAGACCCAGCACUUUAUUCCUGCUCUUUAUCACUCCCUGCAGCCGCUGCUCAAUGUCACAGACGUGGGUUUUAGCCUGGCAGAGAAGCGGAGGGUCUCGUUGGCCUGAGCUUUGGAAAGUCCUUUGGCCUGUUUGCUCCACUCCACCAGCGGGUCGUGAAGGAAGGUCUUGAGCACACUUGAGAGGAAGAAAUAAUAAAUAAGUUCAGAAACCUGAGAUGUUGAGAGUUACCUUUGUGCCAGACCAUACACACAGUUAUCUUGAUCAUAUAGCAAGAGUCAAGUGGCAAGAAUAUAAUUAUUUUCCAACCUGGUGAGCGGCUCCCUCUGGUCCCUCAUUAGCCUCAGCGUGACCUCACAGGCCUGUCUGAAGAGGCCUUCGGUGCCCAUGGGUCCCAUGGCGUGGACCAUGUUUUGGGUCAGACGGAAGGGAACGACCUCAGGCACGUCAAACGUCUCCCCCUAGUGGACAGGGAGAGAAGGAGCGUGGAAAGUUGGAACCGAGACAAACCUUGUUGAAGAGGCAGUUGAAGUCGACGUGGACACAUUCCCCGGUGAAAGAGUCAAAGAGGAUAUUUUCUCCGUGUCGAUCUCCCAAGCCGAGGAUAUAGCCCACCAUUGACAUCACGGCGGUGGAGCGGCAGUACGCAGAGCGACUGCUGUACCUGUGAACGAUUGCAGCUUGGUGAGAAUGUGUCGUAGUCCAGCGGUGUUGUUGACCCAUUCGAUGAUGCCACACUCCUCAUUGAGGGGAAUCACAGCGUAGGUGCAGAUGUGCAGCUCCCUCCGCCUCGAUUCGGCAUCUUUACUAUCUUCGAAGCUGUCCAGGUAGGCCCAGUGUCCGGGGAAGGCGUCGUGCUGUGUGUUUGCCCCGCCUGUGGAGGGCAGCGUGGGGAUGAGCACCGACUGCAGAGGGAUCAGAAUCUGGCUGAAGGUCGGCUCCUCCAC